Molecule: ribosomal RNA, 497 nt
Filed under: uncultured bacterium
Lineage: Bacteria
Description: partial 16S ribosomal RNA
Rfam family: Bacterial small subunit ribosomal RNA
Source: RNAcentral
GACGAACGCUGGCGGCGUGCCUAAUACAUGCAAGUUGAGCGAUGAAGCUUGGUGCUUGCACCCAUUUGAAGAGCAGCGAACGGGUGAGUAACGCGUGGGUAAUCUGCCUUUGAGCGGGGGACAACAUUUGGAAACGAAUGCUAAUACCGCAUAACAACUUUAAACAUAAGUUUUAAGUUUGAAAGAUGCAACUGCAUCACUCAAAGAUGAUCCCGCGUUGUAUUAGCUAGUUGGUGAGGUAAAGGCUCACCAAGGGGAUGAUACAUAGCCGACCUGAGAGGGUGAUCGGCCAAAAUGGGACUGAGACACGGCCCAAACUCCUACGGGAGGCAGCAGGAGGGAAUCUUCGGCAAUGGACGAAAGUCUGGCCGAGCAACGCCGCGUGAGGGAAGAAGGUUGUCGGAUCGUAAAACUCUGUUGGUAGAGAAGAACGUUGGUGAGAGUGGAAAGCUCAUCAAGUGACGGUAACUACACAGAAAGGGACGGCUAACUACGUG